Felis catus (domestic cat) is the source of this 2043-nucleotide long non-coding RNA. RefSeq lists it as uncharacterized. The transcript is spliced from 3 exons. The record is from RefSeq and is a predicted model, not a curated record. NCBI's taxonomy places the organism in Eukaryota, Metazoa, Chordata, Mammalia, Carnivora, Felidae.
UCUUUAGCAGCUUCUCUGAGGUUUGUUCAGACCCCAGGAGGCCUCUUCUUGGCUGUCUUUCUCCCUGGUUCUCCCUGGUGAACCUAUAGCUGGCCUAAGGUUUUGCUUAUUGUUCUUAAUUUAGAGGAGCUAUUAUUUUCAAGAGCUCUCUUAGGCUUGAAUUCUCCCACUCUGUUUCAGAUAAAGUCUGUUCCUUUGGGGGAGAGCUUAGGAGCUCUCUUUCUUGUGGAAUGCUUCUCCUUGGGAAAAAAAUUUUGAGCCACUAUUCUGGACUCUGGGUUGGGCAGUAGCCUCUGGUCUUCUAGGCUCACUGCUUAUAUUUGGAACCUGUGUCUUGUGAUCAAACUGGGGCAAGAGCCAUCAGGACUGCAGUAUUCUCAGCCUGCUGUGGCCAGUGUAGCCCCUCAAUCCUCUGAGUGGGGACUGGCUGGAGAAAAGAAGCCCCUGACCUCUUGGCCUCACUCACUAAGACUUUAGCCUCUUCAAUUUGGAAUUGGAGGAUGAGAAAUACUGGUGUCCUGCCCUUACUGGUAAGGUAUGGGUAACCAAUAAUUGGGAGCUGAGGGGAGAAGGAGCCACAUCUUCCUGGUGAUACCUACCUGGAGUGGACUAACAUCAAAAGGAGCUGGAGAGGAGCUGAGAAAACUUACCCCAGAGAUGCCAAGUGGACAUGCAUCUCAUUGAUAUGGGGAAUAUCGACUGGGGAAUGCCCAUUCCUAAACCAGUCACUGGAAGGGUAAUGAGAUUUACUGUGACCAGGAAGCAGCACCACCGUCCAACCAGAUACUAUGGGCAAAAUCUAUAGAGCCAUCACUGAUUGCUGUCCUUCCCUCAUGAUCUCACGGUCAUUCAAGUUUUCCCAGCUGAGGCCUCAGACGAUGACAUCGUAGAUCAGAGAGGAGCCAUCCGCCCUCUGCCCUGUCUGAAUUCUAACUCUACAACAGGAUGCCUGAGCGUGAUCAAAUGGUCAUUGUUCCAGGACGCUGAGUUAUGGAGUGGUAGAGGACCAGAACGCAUUCUGUUCACUUAUUCUUCAUCUAAGCACAUCCUCUAUUUCACCAGUACUUCACUUUCCAUAUUCCAUUCCAUUUUUAUUUUUAGUCGCUGUCUAUUCCAUCCUUCCUAACUCUGUAUUCUAUAUUUCAUUCCAAGUUUCAAUUCCAUUUGUUUCUAUUCCAUCCUGGUACUUUUAAAUCUAUAUAGUGCAAAUUUCAUAGUCCAUUGAUUUCAUGACAUUGCAUAUUCUAUUCCAUAGGUUUCCUCCUAUUUAAUAUUUUAUUUCACUGUAUAUUCCACUCCAUUCCUUUUUUCACAUAACAGUACUUGUAUAUUUUUUAUUCCACAUGCCAUCAGAUAUUUAUUUCCAUUCCCCUUUCCAUUUUCCCUUUAUAUUCCAUUCAAUUUACAUCCUGUUCAAUUUUCCAUUCCAUAUCCUGUUCAAGUCUGUAUUCCAUCCCCCAUUUCAUUCCAGUUUCCACUGCAAGUAGUCUCCACUUCAUCCCGUUCUACAUUCUAUUUCAAAUCCAUUUUCCAUUCCAUAUUAUUUAACACUCCAAAUACCAUUCCAUUCUGUUUUGCAUUGUGUUUCACUCCAGUUGCUCAUCCAGCCCAGUAAGCAAGCAUCCCAUUCCAUUGGGCCGAAAUUGUUAUAACAGUGACUUUCAGGAGAAUAUCUUGCUAAUAUUUUAAUCAAAGAAUUACAAAUGUGUACGGCCUGUGCCAAGAACUUCCUCAUCUGGGAGUUUAUCCAUAGCAAGGACACGAUUGAGGAUAUGAACAAUUUUUAGUAAGAAGGAUGUGCCUCUCAGUGAUGUGUUACAGAGAGUGAGAAGUUGGAAAUGAUGUGAAUGUUGGUUGAGAUUGGAAUAUUUGAAGAUGUAAGCCUCUUGUAUAAAUGGAAUAGUUUGUACUUCAAAAUGGCCUUGUGGAAGUUUACUCAUUGACAGGGAAUGAGUGUUUUCUGGACCCCAAAUAGCAGGUUACCAAGCAGUAUCUAUGGAUAAGUGAUUCCAUCUCAUCAAAUAAAAUCAAUCAUGAAAUAUG